GGGCUACACCUGUGGCAUAUGGAAGUUUCCAGGCUAGGGGGUCCAGUUGGAGCUGUAGCCACUGGCCUACCCCACAGCCACAGCAACACAGGAUCUGAGACACAUCUGUGACCUACAGCACAGCUCAAGGCAAUGCUGGAUCCUCAACCCAAUGAUCAUGGCUAGGGUCGAACCUGCAUCCUCAUGAAUCCUAGUCGGGUUCAUCAACCACUGAGCCACAAAGGGAACUCCCUUAAAGUCAUUAGGAAAUGUAGAGCUCUUGCAUUUGUUUAAAAAUAAUCCAGUGUUUGUGGGAAAAGGAUGGUACAGCAAAUAAAUAAGUUGACCAUGUGCUGCUAAUUACCAAAGGCAGGUGGUGAGCGCAGGGGGUUGAUUAUGUUAUUCUGCCUACUUUUGAGUAUGUCUGCAAUUUUUGAUUUAAAACACUUUAAACAUCUAGUGGAUGGCAUUUCUUUAAUUAAGAUGUUAUUAGUAACAUAUUAGUUCGCAUUCGAUGCCUGUUUUAACUACCUCCUUUCCACAUCCUUAAUUCCUAAUCAUAUGUAAAGUCUUUCUGGGUUUUUGUUACAUUUUCCAGGUUGUCCUUUACUUUUCUCCUUUCAGCUCUUCCUUAAUAGCAACUUUCACAGAAUCAACUUAUGUAACAUGUACGAGUCCAGACCUGAAUAAUUUGAAGAAAAUUAGUUAAGGCUCUGAGUCUGGUCCUUUGUAUUAAACAAUCAUGAAUUUCAGUAAACCUGGCCUGUGGAAGAGAGGCCCCUUCAGGAACAAAUGAAAGAACAAAGUGUAGAGAAAUACCACUUGGUUAAGUUGGUAUAAUAAGUCUGCUUAAUAUUUGACUGAAACAAACAGGACAAAGAAACCAAUUCAACACGGUGAACACAAAGAAAGAGAUGUACAAAAAAAUCUUUAGGGGAAAAAAUUGGAUUUAAUUAUUUUCAUCCUCCCUUUCCCUUUUAAGGCAUUUGGAUUCUUGCUAACUUCAGGGAAGGCUGGCGUCAGGCUCAGUCACGUGAGUGGGGUUCUGGUCUGGAAGUGCUGAGCCUAGUCCUGGCUAGCACAGAAUGUGAAUAGGUUCCAUGCUGACAUUACUUUUAUAGGUUUUAUACAUCAUUUUAUAGAUUUUCCAGUGAGAUUGAGCUCAGGAUGAAGUCAGUCAAAAGAGGAAUUAAGUAUAUAGAAGGCAAUAUUCAACUACGUAGGCAGGAAUGCCCUUUAAAGAAAUUAAUGUCCCUUUCAAUUUCUUAGUAAUGUAUAAAAAUGGAAUAUAGUGUUUCCCUCUGAUCCUAUUAUCUCUAGAACUACUCAUUCUUUUUUGUGAAUAAGACCCCAAAUGGUUUUUCUAGUGAGCAAGAGUGGGCAAAGAACAUGUAUUAAUUACCAACAAAGAACAUAAGCUCUGUAAUCACAGUCUGAUGCGAUAAAUUAUAACUUUGUUCUCCAGAAGCUGACCCAUAAUGGAUGAACUGGGAAAUCUUCUUAAUGCUGAACUAGAAAAAUAAAGGAUCCGGAUGUUUGAGAGUGCAAGCUGUAUAGGGGCUAUGCACAACCAUGCUAUUGUAGAGCUUUCAUUUUCCUUUAGACACAUUUCUUUAAAUUUUAAAUAUAUCAUCUUUUUUCCUUCCCUUACCAUUAUUAUUUUAAAUUACAGCAUAUUGAUUUAGUGUUGCGCCAAUUUCUGCCGUACAGCAAAGUGACCCAGUCAUACACAUACUUAACAUUCUUUUUUUAAAUAUCAUCCCCAUCACGUUCUAUCCCAAGAGACUAGACACAGUUCCCUGUGCGACACAGCAGGACCUCAUUGCUUAUCUAUUCUAAAUGUAAUAGUUUGCAUCUACUAACCCCAAAUUCCCAGUCCAUCCCACUUCUUCCCUCAUUCCCCUCGGCAACCACAAGUCUGUUCUUUACGUCGGUUUGUGAGUCUGUUUCUAUUCUUCCAAUAGCUUCAUCUGUGGCAUAUUUUAGAUUUCACAUUUAAGUGAUAUCAUAUGGUAUUUGUCUUUCUCUUUCUAGCUUACUUCAUUUAGUAUGAGACUCUCUAUUGAUCCAUGUUGCUGCAAAUGGCAUUAUUUCAUCUUUUUUAUGGUUGAGUAGUAUUCCAUUGUAUAUAUGGACCACAUAUUCUUAAUCCAUUCAUCUGUCAAUGGACACUUAGGUUGUUUCCAUGUUUUGGCUAUUGUGAACAGUGCUGCUAUAAACAUACGGGUACAUGUAUUUUUUUGAAUUGUAGUUUUGUCCAGAUAGAUGCCCAGGAAUGGGAUUGCUGGAUCAUACGUUAGUUCUUUAUUUAGCUUUCUGAGGAAUCUCCAUACUGUUGUCCACAGUGGCUGUACCAAUUUACAUUCCCACCAACAGUGAAGGAGGGUUCCUUUUUCUCCACACCCUCACCAGCAUUUGUUAUUUGUAGACUUACUGAUGAUGUCCAUUCUGAGGUACAAUGGUACUUCACUGUAGUUUUGAUUUGCAUUUUUCCAAUAAUUAGUGAUGUUUUAAGUGUAUCUUCUUGUGAAACAUUUCACCUUAGGAAUAAAGUACAAAAAUUUAAAAAAGAGUCUGACUCUAGAACAAGGGACAGAAACAUUCCUAGGAUAGAGACAUAUUAUAUCGUUUCUUUACCAAGAUUUUCUACUCUUAAUUAUUCCAAAGGGACUCAGAGGUAGCGAGCAUGAUACACUAGUGUCUUUGUGGGAUGUAGAAAAGUGUAAUUAUCUUCCUUGCCUGUGGGAAGUUUACAUUAUCUUUUAGGUAAAAAGAUAAUCAUGUAAGUUAGGGAGUUCCUGUUGUGGCACAGCAGAAAUGAAUCUGACUAGUAUCCAUGAAGACCCGGGUUUGAUCCCUGGCCUCACUCAGUGGGUUAAGGAUUUGUCAUUGCUUUGCGCUUUGGUGUAGGUCACAGAUGCAGCUCGGAUCCAGUGUUGCUGUGGCUCUUGUUAUUUCAUUUGCAAAUCAAACAUGCACAGCUUUGGUUUUACUUAUGCCUCCUUAAGAAUAUAAAUAGGCCUAAAGAUAAUUUGACCAUAAACUAGAAAUUAAUUUACUACUGUACAUUCUUCCUUUCUCCUAUGAUUCCACUCCAUUGACCAGUAUAGCACUGAUAAGUGAUGAGAUCACUUUCUGUAUAUUUGCCACAGGGAAGCAUUCAUGUUUCCCUCUCUCGGGAUGGGCUCCAAGGGAAGGAAAAGUGAGAAAAAUAAACGUAGAGUAUAUGGGAUCCAGGAGUUUAGCAAACUGCUGACAAAAUUCAGUGUGCUAACUCUACUGAUGUUCUUGUAAGUUUGCUGAAAUAAAAGUCAAAGCUUUCAGUGAGCUCUUCAUUGAAAGAGGGGGAAGAAACAGAAAGAGCAAAAGAGAUGACACUGAAAAGCUUGAGGAAGCAGAGCAGGCAGGACAGCACCCCUUCUCAACUCCAACUCGGAGCUGCCCCAGCCACAGCACUGCAUUGGCUACUAAACCAAGACUUUCUGCUUCUGAGGUGUGGGAUUCCAUGUGAGAUAUUUUUAAAAGUGAAAGAAAACCAAAAAACCCACAAAGAAGAAAGAAAGAAAGGAUGGAAGAAAAGGAGAGAAAGAGGAGGAAGGAAGGAAGAUAGACAGAAAGACAGAAAGAACCAACCAAACAGGAAGGAGAGAGACAGACAGAAGAACCAACCAAACAGGAACAAAAACAAAAUCACCAAAUACUCCUAUCCCUUUUUUAAUGAAAACUGCAGAAAACUACUAACCUGAGUCCAUCUGAAAUCAACUUGUAUUUAUUGGGCAGCUAUUCUGUGCCAGGUUUGGGGACAACAGCAGAAACCAAGUAAACAGUCUCUGUAUUCAUGGGUUACUUCAGAUAUUUCCUACAAACUAGGCCUGAUAUUAUUUCAUAGCUAUAAUUCAGAUUCAGCUGUACUAAAAUCAAGAUACUCCUAAUAUUUUACUGAAACCUGAAU
Molecule: long non-coding RNA, 3931 nt
Filed under: Sus scrofa (pig)
Lineage: Eukaryota; Metazoa; Chordata; Mammalia; Artiodactyla; Suidae
Description: lncRNA (ENSSSCG00000047253.1)
Source: RNAcentral